UACGGAGGAUGCGAGCGUUAUCCGGAUUUAUUGGGUUUAAAGGGUGCGCAGGCGGAAUGUCAAGUCAGCGGUAAAAUUUCGGGGCUCAACCCCGUCGUGCCGUUGAAACUGGGGGCCUUGAGUGGGCGAGAAGAAGGCGGAAUGCGUGGUGUAGCGGUGAAAUGCAUAGAUAUCACGCAGAACCCCGAUUGCGAAGGCAGCAUACCGGCGCCCGACUGACGCUGAGGCACGAAAGUGCGGGUAUCGAACAGG
Molecule: ribosomal RNA, 252 nt
Filed under: uncultured Bacteroidales bacterium
Lineage: Bacteria; Pseudomonadati; Bacteroidota; Bacteroidia; Bacteroidales
Description: partial 16S ribosomal RNA
Rfam family: Bacterial small subunit ribosomal RNA
Source: RNAcentral